AUAUACAACCAACUGUCAAAUCUCCAUCAAGUAUAUUUGCAUACUCGAUACAUCAGUUGCUCAAAGAGGCAGAACAAGUUCCCUGUGUUUUUGUGUCAAAAUGCCUGGCUUAGAUACUCAAGAGAACAAGCCUCCAGCAGGAUACCCAAUUGACACUCCCACCACUGGGAAGAAAUGCUUCCCUCGCACAAAAAAGAAGGGAGAAAGAGGCUUUAUCGAGGGAUGCCUCUUCGCUCUAUGUUGCUGUUGGAUCUGUGAAAUGUGCUGCUAGGUUGUGAUCCAAAUAGGAAACUUCUGUACUGGAUGUGUUGUCUUUGAUUUUCCUGCUUUUCUGUGUGAUCAUAUAUUGUAAAAAAAGUGAGAUUUUAUUAAAACGUCUUCAAACAGCCUGUAAGGUAUUUCAUUAUUUGUCUCCUCAUACAGUCAUAUACUCUGCCUUUUUUUCGA
Populus euphratica (Euphrates poplar) is the source of this 447-nucleotide long non-coding RNA. RefSeq lists it as uncharacterized. The transcript is spliced from 3 exons. Lineage: Eukaryota; Viridiplantae; Streptophyta; Magnoliopsida; Malpighiales; Salicaceae. The record is from RefSeq and is a predicted model, not a curated record.